GCGAGCUAGCUACUCCAGCUGCUGGCCGGCCGUCGAAAGAGACCGGAUCACUUUGCCGGAUGAGCAGCGGUGGGAUCGAUCGUGGAUUGUGCGCGCCUCCGUCCGUCCUGCCGACCGGCGCGGCGGCCGCGAGCUUAGAUUUUGGCUGUGCUCCUGCUGGUAGGUACGUUUCCUGUACACUCGGAUAUGUAUAUGGAUAUAUAUAUAGAGCUCUUAAUUGGUUUUGAUUGCUUCCGUUUCUUCUGUUAUUUCUGGAUCUCAAGUUUCUUCCCGGCCGAUCGAUCUCAUAUUGUCAACCCACAUCAUCUACGGUUGGUUCUGACUUCAAUAUUUCGAGCCAUGUUUGAUUUUUUUUUUUGUUCUUCCUCUUCACUGCUCGAUCGACCGGCCAGUUAAUUUAGUCGAACAUACAAAUUAUUAGUCAGAAGUUACAAAGCUAGUCCUUUCCAUAAUAAGCUCGCAUGGAUGAAUUGUUGGGCAGAUCUGCUUUACCAAGUUCUAUUGUACCGAACCCGAACCCCUUAAUUAGGAGGAGACAGUUCCACGUAUACGUGAUGAACUAGCAUAAAUACCCGUGCGUAGCAACAUAUUCUAAAUAAAAUUUUAUGGAUAUAAAUUAAAACCCUAAACCAUAUAUAUCACAAUUGGACUAAUGGAAAUAUAAUCAUAAAAGUACGUAUUACCCCCUGAACUAUCAUGGUCGACCGAAUUACACCCCUGAACCACAAACCAGACAUUCUUCACACUUAACAAUUGAAACCAGACAAAUAACUCCCGGCUCAAUUCGCUGUGGUUUUGGUCCUACGUGGCAGCCCAGUCAGCAAUUGUUUUUAAAAAAAUCGAUGGACCCCACCUGUAAGUUUCUAACCCUCUCUACCUCUCUUUAUUCCCCCUCUCUCUCUCUUCUCCCUGCCACACCUCCCUGACGUGGCCGCGCCGACGUAGUUGCCCGACGGGUAGCCACUGAAACAGGUGGCAAGCGCGCAGCCCAUCGCCGUGGUGCGCCGCCACACCAUCUGCGUAUGGUGCCAGCCAUCGCGGCGCUGCCACUGCGUCGUACGCGCACACUCCCGUGACACCCGAGCUCGCUCCGCCUCCGCCGCCGACCGCCCCAACCCGCACGAGCACCGUCGAGGGCGAGGCAGCAGAGGAGUAGAUCGACGACGAGGGAUGCCAACGGGCGGUGUCCUUUUCUUCCACUUCCUUCGCCUUCUCUCUCUUCUUUUUCUUUUUUUUUUCUUUGGAUUUGUGCAUCCUUCGAUGUGGAACGAGCCGGCGAAGAAAAGGGGGGGGAGGGGGGGGGCGAGCCAGGGGAGCGCAGGAGUGGGAGGUGGGCAGCGGUGGCGAUGGCAGCAGCCACGGCGGUGACCACCUCCAUGCCCUCAUGCGGAAGGCGUCGACGACGGCGGCGAGCGAGAGCGCGCGCGUGGUGUGGGAGGCCUUGUGGAGGAAGAUGAGGGGCAGCGCGAUGUGGGGGUUUAGCUCGGACUCUAGGUCCGCAUGCACAAUGAGGUUGCGCUCGACAACACCAGCCGCCUCGCCGCCAUUACGUCCGCGACCUGGAGCCAGCCGACCAACAUCGCGGAUUUGUACUACUGUUGGUGACCGGUGAGGCGGUGAUCUCUCGCGUUGGGUUUUUGCGGCCGACCACGCUCCACCGCCGCGCGUCCUCGCCGCCUCGCUCCAUGUCUCACUGCCCUCGCCGCCGCCGCCAUCGGAGCCGGCCGAGCGCUACCCCGGCGUGUAAUACGUCGCUUCCUUGUUGGGCGACCCACCCACCGCCUGCAGCUGCCUCUGCCCCAUCCAGCCGUUGUCCUCGGCUCCUCGCUCGCCGUUCGUAGCUGCCUCCACCCCCUCCUGCCGCCGUCCUUCGUGCCCGUCGCCCUGUCUCCACGCUCGCCGGCCGCCGUCCUCCGCCCCCGCCCGUCGGCGGCCUCGGUUCCUAGCCCGCCACCCGCAGCCGCCCCGCCCGCCUCAGCUUCUCGCCCGCCACCCGCGCUCGGCCGCCUCUGUUCACCGAGAGAGAGGCAGAGAAGGAGGAGAGAAAAAUAGAUGUGCUGACAGGUGGGCCCUACCAUUUUUUAAUUUGUUUUUGCUGACUGUAUCACCACGUGUGUGCCACGUAGGCUAAAAACCGUUUCAAAUCGAGUUAGGGUGGUAAUUUAUCUAUUUUUAAGAGUUUAGGGUGUCAAAUGUCCGGUAUUUUAGUUUAGGGGGGAAAUUGUACUACCGCAAUAGUUUUUUUUUUUUGGUGGGGGGGGGGGCUGCGGGGGGCUAAUUCGUACUUUUUCCUAUACAUAACAACAUGAAACUACAAGUAACUUUAGCUGGAAUAAUAAUUCAAUAUCAAAAAAAUUAUAUAACUAAAUCUGUUUUUUUAGCUAUAAAUAAUUCAAUAUAGAGAAAAAUUAUAAGUUACAAAAUUUUUAAUGGAUCAAAUAAUGCUAAAACUAAUACUGCAAAUGGAAAAACAAACUGAAAAUCCGAUCCAUUAAUCUGAAUAGGUACCCUUUUCAUUGACAUAAAUUAGACUUUUCCUGUUCUGUUCAUAUUCCUAUGGGUUCAAUAUUAUGUGAGUUGUCCAAGAGCAUGAUUGGGCUAGACUAGGAAGGAACAGUGCCUUCGUCUAUAGAUGGUGGAGGUUGGCAACGAAAAAAAAUCAGAACAACAUGAAUGCGGCUGACAACGAUGUGGUACCGAUAGAGAUAUAAAUGGCAACGUACCGAUAGAGAUACAACGACGAGCUCUGAUGGUGAACACGACCAGAUGAGUGCAUCAAAACACGUUCCUGGAUGAGGGGGUUCCAUUUUCCUUGAGCGCGUAGAAAGAACGAUAGAUGGAGAAAAAAAUGAUUAACACUGUUUAUCGUCUUCCCUAGCCGAAACAAUAAACAUAAGAGGAGGGAAGAUGGGCACCUGUCCUCCGGCGACCGAACAACGGUGUGUAAGGUGGCCGGACGUAUCCCAUAACGUGCCUCGUCCAUAGAUGUUGGCGGUUGGCAAUGAAGAAAACCAGAAUAUCAUGAAAAACAAUGAUGUGGUCCUGAUAGAGUGAGAAAUGGCAACAGCGAGCUCUAUUGGUGAACACAACCGAUGAGUUCGUCAAAAGGUGUUCCCGGAUGAGGGGAUUCCGGUUUCCUUGAACGUGCAGGAAGAACAAAAGAUGGAGAAAAAUUACUAACGCUGUUCAUCGCCUACCCUAGCUGAAACAAAACAACAGAAGAGGAGUGAAGUUGGGUGCCCAUUCUCCCGCGACCAAAUGGUAGUGAGUAAGGUGGCCGUAUGUGUCUCACGAUAUGACACAUCUAUAGAUGGUGGCCGUUGGUAACGAAGAAAACCAGAUAGCGGGAACGCGACCGGCAACAACGUUGUCCUGCAAAACGGCAACAACGAGGUCUGGUAGUGAACACGGCCAAGUGAGAGCGUCAAAACAUAUUCCUAGACGUGGGGGUUCCAUUUUUAUUGAACGCGCAUGAGGGAGGGAGGGUAGGGGAAAGGGGCGCUAGGAGGAUGGGGUGAUAGGGAGGAGGGGUGCCAGAGAGGAGAGGGGCUGCGGGGAAAGGGGGAGCGCGUGCAGCAGGGUAGGAUUGGACGAUGUUAUGGGAUCAGGAGAGAAAGAUGGGGUUGCGACGGGAGGAAGGGAGGGAGGAAGGAGCGCGGCCGUGGGGGAUGGGGAGGACAGACGAAAUUGGGUCCAGAAGCUUUACGUAUUUUUUUAGUUAGAUAUAGAUAUUAAUUAUUUUGAUAUGACACACCCUUCUCACAAAAUUAAUCUCAGGAUUUUUUGGAUUUCAAACAUGUUUUUUUUGUGACACCAAUCAUUUUUAUUAUUAAUAUAGUAAAUUCAAUAAAACUACCUUUAUAUUUUAGUAAAGUUAUGAAAGCAAAUAUAUAAAUUUAACUUGUUAUAUGACAAAACAAUAUUUUCAAGGCUAAACUUAUCACAAAAUUACAUAUUUAGAACAUCAUCAUCAAUAGAAAAAUAACAAAAGACAUAACAUGCAAUAAUAUGCCUCAAUGUCUUAUACAUAGUGAAGCUAGGUCACAACACAUUAAAUGCUAAAGUUUGCUAUAAGCUUGUGGCUCGGCUACAAUGUUUUUAAAAGCGGUACACGGUUUCAAUGUCUUAUACAUCGUGAAGCUAGCUAGAUUACAACACACUAAAUGCUAAAGUUUGCCAUGAGCUUAUGGCUCACUUGUUAUUGAAAAGCGGUACACACUUUCGUGUGGUCACCUCACCAGCUUGUAGCGCUUAAGCAGCAUAAUAGAAUGCUUAUGCGACUUAACCGGUAUAAGGUUGGGGCACCCGUUUCUUGUAUACAACCUUGGUAGACUUUUUGUUGGGUUCGCGUCUUCUGCUAUUAGGGAGUAAAUAGUAGAUGCAAACAGUAAAAUGUCAUGUGUGAUACAGUGUUUUACUAUAGCUACCGUAGAAAUCACUGUAGAAACAGUGAAAAGUACCAUCUAAUCAUUAUAUUAGAAUGACCGUAGCAAUUAAUCUCGUGCAUCCAAAUUUAAUCCAAUGGCUAUGAAUAGUAAUGGCAUGGAUCAUUGUAGUUCUUGAUCAUUCCAGAUGGAAUGGCAGAGGAUACGAUCCCCUCAAGCAUUGAGUGGCUAUAGAUGGUGGGGUCACAAGCACCACGUAGGCCUCUUAUAAGACGAGUAUCACACAACUAAAACUCUAAUAUGUAUUGAUUUAAUUACAAAACUACAGAUUAAUUGAAAAAACUUGGUUUUAUCACAAAAUUAUUGAUUUUAAAGCCUCCGUUAAGACAAGAAUAUAAUGUCAGUAUGAAUCAUAUUGUUUUACGAUAAAUUAUACACUACAUCUUAAGCUUUGCGAUACUAUGUUUUAUACAUUAUAAAUUUAACGUUAAUAGCGUAGUUAUGCCACACCACUUAAAUAUGUAGUACUAUCACACUUUUGUCAAACUAGGAAGGUAGCCCGUGCAUUCACGCGGACAUGCAUCUUAAGAUGUGUUUGAGAUACUUAUAGUUAUAAGGAUGGAAUAUUUACCGUAGAAAACCAUCACGCUUUGAAAACAAUUUCUCUGUGCAUUUUUUUGUCAUCAUUGCCUGUAAUUUGAUUAAUCCCCAUAAGAAGAAGGAAAACUUACUUUGUUUUAAAAAAUAUAUCUAAAAAAUUAAGUGUAAAUUAAAAAUAAUGUACUUCUUGUUUUUAAAUUGAAUGUUAGCGGACAUUUUUCUAAAUUUUUUUAAAACUAUUAUCCCUAACAAAUGUGUUCUAUUUGUACCAUCAAGCUAGACCUCCUUUUAUUUGGUUUAUAUUGAUGCAAUUUGUUACAUACUUACAUAUGAAUCAAUAAACAUAGAGGAGAUAUACAUAUCCUAGGUCUUGCUUCCCUAUGAUAUAUGUAUUCUAUGGUGUUUUUUUUUAAAAAAAAAACUAAUCAACAUGAAUCUUGAAAUUGAAAUCUAAUAGUAAGAAAUAUAAAUUUUAAACCAACUAUAUACUGCUACCUUAGUGUAACUUAUAUAUGCAAUAAUUUUUGGAGAAAUUCAUAAUGCCUUGGCGUAGGAUAGAGAAAAAUUCAUUAAUAUCGGAGCACUUAAAUAUAUUUUUGCAUGCAUUAUUAUUUUUUGAAGUGUGGUGUAUUAUUAAUGCACGCUUGAAUAGCUAUCCAUAAUAUACUAAAAAGUGCAUUAAAUACUAUCUAAAGUUGAUUAGAUUGUAAUAUAAUAUAGUUUAGAGCACUUACACAAAAGAUCAUUUGUCUUGCUCAAAUUAUUUGAACAUACUAAUUUCGUGAAAAUUAUGAAGGCACCCGAUUUUUAUGCAGUGGUUUAGACUAUCUAUAUAUGAGUUAGUUUUUUUACUUAAUUUAGCUAUGCAUGUUUGCAAAACAAUGUAUGCAAGUGCAACAUGUGUUGUUGAAUUAUUUUGUAUUUUUUAAUUGUAAUUCGGUUGACAUGUAAAAGACCAAUGGUGUGUGUUCCUUGUAAUAUCCCGGGUUUUAGCUAUAGUCUUAGUUACGCUAAUGACUUGAUCACACUGGCUGAGAGCGGUGUUGAUUGAGCCACGAUGCUGGCUAGUACCUAUAAAUAUAUAAAUAUGUUGGUUGUUGUUCUAUUAUGGAUCUUAAAUGAUUUUUCGAUCGUUUCCUUGUCCUUCAUUUUUCAAGCCAUAUCCAUAUGCAUCAUUGAUUUAUUGUUAGUUAGACUAAAUCACCGGGAUAAUUUAGUUUUGGUUAAACUAUGGCAUAGAUUAGUCGUCACGAAGUGAGGUACACAUGUGCACAGUAGAAAUCACACCAUUCUUUAUUUACAAAUUACAGGUCUGCAUAUAUACAUGCAUAUAAUUAUGCAGUAGAAAUCUUAUACACUAGAAAAAUCUUAUACAGUAUGCAUCUCAUAUAUUGUGCAUAUACAUGGUGCUUAUAGUAUCAUAUCAUAAACUGAACCAUCCCAGUCAAAGAUUCAAUUAAUUAUUUAUUCAGAAAAACUCUUGAGUUCUAGGGCAAUUACAAAUCAGUCCCUAAUCUCAAAGCAACCUUCAAUAUUAGAGACUCUGAGGGACUCAAGUGCAAAAGUACCUAAUUAUAUCAGACUAUCUAAUAAAAAAAAUUAGUGAAACCCUACAAUACUCCACCGAUCAAGCACUGCAUAGGUGUCAAAGCUAGGAGCAGCCAUCUAGCCCAAGUAGGUGAGUCACUUAGCUUUCACUAAAAAUUCCCACAUAUAUUAACUCAGCUAUCUGUGAACCAGCCUCGGUUUGGUCGUGCAGAUCAGCAUAGGCAGCAAGCAGUGGCAGUAGUAGUAGCAACAGCAAGAGCACAGCCAUGUCGCAGCAGCCUCAGCCGCAACAGCAGUAGCAGCAAGCAGUUCGUAUGCAAAACCAUCUCAAAAGAGAGAGAUAGCAGAGCAGUAGCUAGUAAUCCGGCACCACAGUUACACCAAAUCUCAAUAGCAGCAGCCAUAGAAAAACAACCAGGGUGAGAGAGUAGAAGGAAAAGAAAGGGGAUGCAUGUGUUUCAAGAAGAGCAAGGGGUUUCAAUUUAAAGAGGAGAAACAAGUAGCAGAUCCGGAAGGGCAGCAGUAAACAAGAGGAGGAGCAACACCCUGACCAAUUUCAAAAGAAGCUGUAGAACCAGAGGAGAGUCACACGGUCAUUAGUCUUCCACAGCCACAGUAGAACCAUCAAAUAAGGUAAUCUGGAAAAAGAAUUAGAAUGAGAGGGAAAUCACAUCAUGUCAUGAUUCUUGGUUGAUGCAUAUAUUAGUAUGUUUAGGAGUUGUGUGCACGCACUUAGUUAUAUGCAUUAAACCUGAAAAAUGAACCUCAGGAGAUGGCAGCUAUGUUGAUCUGUGCAUAUACUAGUAUGUGUAGGCCUUGGGUGUUGCAUUUGCAUCCAUUAGAAGCUGAACCAGAACAUCUCUGAUUCAGUAAAAUAUUCACAUUAAUAGUUUGAUCUUCAGAACGGUUUGUGUAACUAAAAUUUUACUAUAGAUAAACAGGUGCUCAGGUGAUAAAUCAAGAAACAGUAGAAUGUAUAUAAAGAUAUCAUCAGUCUUAUGUCUUUAUCAAAUUUAGUAACUGCAGAUCUUUAUUCAUAGUACAAAUAUUGAUAUUCUUGACAUAUAGAUAAAAUCAGAUUUUAGAUUUAGCCAUGGACUUGGAAAUUAGUAUCUGAACCCUAGCACAUAUUCAAUUUAUCAUGAAACAUAAGGACCAUAACAACUCUAUCAAUUAGGCUAGUUCAAUUAGUAAACAGUAGUAUAUAUUUUAGAUUGUAUAGAAUCACCAUAUAAUUGGAUUUAGGGUGAAACAUUCAUUUAUAUAUAAUACCAAGUUCAGGAAGCACUGGUAUUUCAGAUUAAAAUAUAGAAGAUCAUGUAGCAGCAGGUUUUAGUAAAAAGAAUAGAACUGAGCAAUUAAGGAUACCAAACAGAAAACCAUAGGUUCUUACAGAAAAUAAUCUAGAGAAGAGGUUAGAGCAUAGCAUCUGAAUCAAGUGGAUAUGUAUAUAAUUAGUUGACCAAUAGUUUAAUCCAUGUCCUCAUCAACCACUGUAAUUAAAUAAUGUAUAAAUUUGGUUAUUAAUCACACAAGCAUAUAGAGAUGAAAAUCUGGACACUAGUAAUAUCAAGGAUAAACAAUGCAUGAGUUUACUAAUUCUAUGGGAUUUAUAUGUGUAAUAUGUGCAUAUGUAUAUCUUCAUUUUUUUCAGUUUAAGUGCAAAAUUAGUAGUAGCUUAUGAAUUAUCAGGAAGCAGUAAUAUCCAUAGGGACUUGAUCAUGUUAGUGUGCUUUUAAUUUCAGUCCUGCAUUUUCAUAAGAUAUAUUCAUAUGAGCAUUCAUUCAUCAUGGGCAUACAGGCAUCAUCCAAUCUAGCAAAUGAAUUGAUCUAGAACCCUAAAACUAGUAAAUACAAUCAAUAGCAUAGAGUCAUCAAGUUGAUCAUUAGGAUUAGUCUCCAAGUAUCAUCAGUGCAUCACAACCAUAAAUCAUAAGGGAAAGAACACCUUACCAGUAUAACACACUAGAGAUCAGGGAAAAGGAGAUAGAAGGGAGGAAUCGAAGUGGUAGCAGCGGUAGGGGCCUGGGAACUUCCUCUGAAUCCUUACCUCGCCGGAGUUUUGCCGGCGGCUGCAUUUAGGAUUGAGGAGGUUGGAAGUUAGGUUUAGCUUAGGGGCAGAGAAGCGUGGAGCCAAGAAACCGAUUCGCGGCUGCGGGACAUCUGCUUGAGGGGUCGCCGGAGUGGGGCGCGGUAGCCGGCGCUAGGGAGAGUGGCGGCGUCGCCGGCGCUGCCUAGGAAGCGGCGGCACUGGAAAGAACGUGGGGGAGAGAAGGGGAGAACGAGGAGAAAAAAAAGAGAAGAGGAAGAAGGUGGUGUAGUGGGCUUUUCUGUUGGGCUUCUACAUGUGGGCUGUAUAUAUGAGUACUAUUGAAUUUAAUUAUUAUUGAUUAUUGAAUAUAAAUCUAAAGUAAAACUUCUUUCAAUUAAAAUAAUUACUCUUUUAAAAAUAAAAAGUGCAAUGAUGUUUGUUUUAACACUAAAUAUGUUAGUGCAAAACUAAAUUAUGUUAUAUAAAUCAUAGAUCGUUACCAAAUCAAAACAUACAAAUAUAUUUAACCAUAUUCAACUUAAAAAUAAAUAUGGGUCAUCUAGUUGAGUCUUGAGGUGAGAGUCGAUAACCUAUAGUGUUGUAGAUCAGCUGUAAUAUUAGGGUUAGGUAUAUCAUGUGCAUCAUACUAAUAUCUACAUUCUUGGUUUUAGUUCUAAUUUGCCAUAUUUUUACAGAUGAAUAUUUAUCUUGGAUUUCAUCGAAUUCUUCAUUGAUUUAUUCGUUCUUCGAUUUCGGGUAUCUCAGGCAAGUCCAACACCUUUGAUCAACUCUUGUUAUAUUUUUAUAAUUGCAAUCUAUAUGUAUCACCUUGCAUUAAAUUAUAUUUUCUAUAAUUGAAAUAAAUAUGCUGAUGGAUUGGAUUGACUGGUGGAGCAGUCGGUCAUAUUAUAGAUGUAUUCUGAACCUGCUAUGGUGGUGGGGUUUCGGUUGCACAUAUUUAUCAUCAUAAGGUUAAAUAAUAACUGUUAUAUGGCAUUCAAGCGUCGUAGCGAUCGUGUCGACCAUAUGACCUGGAAUGGGACAUGCUGGCUUAGUAGUUCUUUCUUAAUGGUUUUAUCCUGCGGCUUAAGGACUUCCGCGAAUCCUGUGAGCGUGGGCUAGCGAUGAGGGUUGCCGUUGUUGCGGAAUCCGAUUAGAUGAUGUGGAUCGCCGUUGUUGCGGGAUCCGAUGAUUCGCCGUUGUUGCGGGAAUCACCCGCAGAGAUUAUUGCCAGAUGGGAUUGAUGAAAAGCUUGUGACCUUAGCCUUGCCGGCAUACACCAUGAAGUGUGCUUCAAGCGCCGACGGGCGUGGGCAUUAAAAGGUUUAAGGCGUCUGUGGGUACAGCGACACACCUCUGCAGAGUGUAUGAAUUGUGAUAUGUCACUCCCUGUUUCGGGUAGAAACUGCGAACACGGCAGGAAAGGAACCUAUCGGAGGUUCUAAUACCUGUGGUGCCUUAUAUACAGUAGAUUUUAUAAUUACUUAAUAUGAGUUUUUACAACACUGUUUUAUGAACAUGCAUAAAAUUCCUUGUUGGAUUAUGGUGGCUUUGGACAUAUAUGUAUUAUACAGGUGGAUUAUGGGCAUGUAUUUGUUGGAUUGCUGUAGUUGGACUUGUUGAGUACCAUUCGUACUCAUCCCCUAUAUAUAUUAUUCCUUGUAGUGUUGAGCUAACAAUUAGGUGGAGAAAUGUUCUACAUGAUUGAUCAAGAUCAAAGCAAAGAAUCGUUCCAUAUUUCUACAUCAACUGAGAGUUGAAGGUGACGAAGGUAUAGAGUAGCAAGGUACUGUUAGUGCUUAUUUUGACAAAAAGUUAUUUUUUUAUGGUUUUAUUUAAUGGGUUUCGCUACAAUUGUUUCUGCUAUGCUACUCUGGUGUGCCCAUUUCUCGGUAAGUUAAUUCUUACUAAGGAAUGAGCCGUAGACCGGUAUUCUACCUCGGAAGUGGAAUACGAGGGUCGCUACAUUCCUCUAAAUUUUUUAUUCAAUGGCUUGGACUAUUUACAUGUGAGCUAUUUUUUCUUAGUCAUUGUAUAUCUAAUUUGGUUUUGCGUGUUUGUAAAAAUAAUAUAUGAUAGUGCAACCUGUGUUGUUGAAUUGUUUCAUCGUUUUUUAUCAUUUGGAUGACAUGCAAAAGUAGAAGGGUGUUUUCCAUCAACAAAAAUUAAUGUUUCAUACUUGGAUUUAUAAUUUUUUUUGCAUAAAAUUCGUAGAGUUUAGCCAUGUAUGUUUGUAUACUGGCGUAUAAUGACGUAAUAUAUGUUGACAACUUAUUAUAAUAUUUUGGUGCUAUUUGGAUUACACGCCAAGUGCAUGGGUCAACUAUGCCCAAAUUUUAUAUUUCUUAUAUGGUAUAAUAUAGGCACAUGAACCUUAUAUUACUGGUUUGACUCCAACAAUUGAAUUAGAAAUCAGACGUAUAACUUAUAAUUGUAAUUAUUGAUUGUUUCUUACAGUUUGAUAGCUAAAACAAAUGAGGCCAGGAAUGAAGAGCAUAGGCUCCAGCCACAGAGGGAAAAGAAAGGUUGAGGAGUGCUUUGCGCAGAUUGGGGGGACUCUCUUUUUCUAAAUGAUUUAGUUGAUGACCAAAUGUUUUUUUUCUCAGAUUACUAUAUUUGUUUUUUAAUUUUUAAGGCGUGACAUAUCACAGGUUAUGAUUUUUCAAUAAGUAGAUUUAAUGGCUGAAAAAAAAUUUAAGUGAAAACCGAUGAUAAGAUGUUUUGUGCUUUCCUUUUAAUUUCUAAGUUUUUUCUAAUUUUCAAAUGUGACAUAUGGUGACUUAAUAGCGCUAUGACACAUAGUGACUCCAUAUUUUUCUAAUUUAUACUCCCUCCAUUUAGUCACAUUUCAGAAAAUCGAUUUUACAGUUUUGAUCAUCCCAUUUGUGUCGGUCUUCUUGGUUCCCACACGCGCGUCGAUUAAGUUUUCUCGCGGAGUUAAUUCGCCCUCAAGAGAUCAAUCGCUCCUUCCUUUUCUACCGUGCGAGGCAACAGAUUCGUUUUUCACCACGCGGCAACCGCCUCCUAUUUGUUUAUCGCGGUCGCA
This 11611-nucleotide long non-coding RNA is filed under the name Oryza sativa (Asian cultivated rice). RNAcentral's name for it is "long non-coding RNA (OSAT_LNC001504)". Lineage: Eukaryota; Viridiplantae; Streptophyta; Magnoliopsida; Poales; Poaceae. The record is from RNAcentral.